AGAGUUUGAUCAUGGCUCAGAUUGAACGCUGGCGGCGUGCUUAACACAUGCAAGUCGAGCGGUAACAGGCGUAGCAAUACGUGCUGACGAGCGGCGAACGGGUGAGUAAUGCUUCGGAAUCUGCCUCGUAGUGGGGAAUAACUAACCGAAAGGUUAGCUAAUGCCGCAUACGACCUUAGGGUGAAAGCGGGGGAUCGCAAGACCUCGCGCUAUGAGAUGAGCCGAAGUCGGAUUAGCUAGUUGGUGAGGUAACGGCUCACCAAGGCGACAAUCCGUAGCUGGUCUGAGAGGACGACCAGCCACACUGGGACUGAGACACGGCCCAGACUCCUACGGGAGGCAGCAGUGGGGAAUAUUGGACAAUGGGGGCAACCCUGAUCCAGCGACGCCGCGUGUGUGAAGAAGGCCUGCGGGUUGUAAAGCACUUUUAGUGGGGACAAAAAGCUCAGGGCUAACACCUCUGGGUCUUGAUUUAACCCAAAGAAAAAGCACCGGCUAACUCUGUGCCAGCAGCCGCGGUAAUACAGAGGGUGCGAGCGUUAAUCGGAAUUACUGGGCGUAAAGCGUGCGUAGACGGUUUCGUAAGUCGGGUGUGAAAUCCCCGGGCUCAACCUGGGAAUUGCAUUCGAAACUGCGAGGCUAGGGUACGGAAGAGGGAAGCGGAAUUUCUGGUGUAGCGGUGAAAUGCGUAGAUAUCAGAAGGAACAUCAGUGGCGAAAGCGGCUUCCUGGUCCAGUACCGACGUUCAGGCACGAAAGCGUGGGGAGCAAACAGGAUUAGAUACCCCGGUAGUCC
Molecule: ribosomal RNA, 795 nt
Filed under: uncultured bacterium
Lineage: Bacteria
Description: bacterial SSU rRNA
Rfam family: Bacterial small subunit ribosomal RNA
Source: RNAcentral